This is a non-coding RNA of Hyaena hyaena (striped hyena), 85 nucleotides long. Lineage: Eukaryota; Metazoa; Chordata; Mammalia; Carnivora; Hyaenidae. The record is from the annotation of a RefSeq genome assembly.
GCCUGGGUGGCUCAGUUGGUUGAGCAUCUGAUUUAGAUUCAGGUCAUGAUCUCAUGGUUCAUGGGUUCAAGCCCCAUAUUGGGCU